AAGAAAAGAAAAAGAGGGAGAAGAAGCGAGAGGGGAAAAGAAAAAGAAAGAAGUGAAAAGAGAAGGGAGCGGGAGGAAGGGAGAGAAAGAAAAGAGGAAAAGGGGAAGUAGGGGGUAGGUUAAGUGAGUUAGUGAGUAGUAAGUAGGGUAGUAGGAACCGGGCACAGUCCAUGCAGCCCGUCCCCCAGCUCCCAACAGCAACGUCUCGUCCACCUUUGAAAGCAGGCAUGUGGAGUCUUCCUCCUCGGCAUUCAUUGGCGGAUAAGUACCCCAACCUCUCCAUUUGCCACCUGACACCCGAUCCCUCCUCCUGCUCAUUGGACCCCUAAUUUCUCGAACCUGUGACAUCACGCCACAGGUCCUCUCACUCCCCUCCCCUCAGUCCUUUCCUGUUUGUUUCAUCCGACAUGCUUUUACUUUUUCCCUCUCACCUUUCUUCUUUUUGCGGGUUGGGUUUGGGACACAUGCGUUAC
Molecule: long non-coding RNA, 473 nt
Filed under: Physcomitrium patens
Lineage: Eukaryota; Viridiplantae; Streptophyta; Bryopsida; Funariales; Funariaceae
Description: long non-coding RNA (PPAT_LNC007237)
Source: RNAcentral